RNAcentral lists this ribosomal RNA (440 nucleotides) under uncultured bacterium. Its description in RNAcentral is "partial 16S ribosomal RNA". It matches the Rfam family "Bacterial small subunit ribosomal RNA", at positions 338 to 795 of the family's 1533-position model. The record is from RNAcentral.
CCUACGGGGUGCAGCAGUGGGGAAUAUUGCACAAUGGGGGAAACCCUGAUGCAGCGACGCCGCGUGAGCGAUGAAGUAUUUCGGUAUGUAAAGCUCUAUCAGCAGGGAAGAAAAUGACGGUACCUGACUAAGAAGCCCCGGCUAACUACGUGACAGCAGCCGCGGUAAUACGUAGGGGGCAAGCGUUAUCCGGAUUUACUGGGUGUAAAGGGAGCGUAGACGGCUGUGCAAGCCAGAUGUGAAAGCCCGGGGCUCAACCCCGGGACUGCAUUUGGAACUGUGUGGCGUGAGUGUCGGAGAGGCAGGCGGAAUGCCUGGUGUAGCGGUGAAAUGCGUAGAUAUUAGGAGGAACACCAGUGGCGAAGGCAGCCUGCUGGACGAUGACUGACGUUGAGGCUCGAAAGCGUGGGGAGCAAACAGGAUUAGAUACCCCUGUAGUC